Molecule: long non-coding RNA, 878 nt
Organism: Acanthochromis polyacanthus (spiny chromis)
Lineage: Eukaryota; Metazoa; Chordata; Actinopteri; Pomacentridae
Exons: 3
Source: RefSeq, a predicted model, not a curated record
CAGUCGGCAACAGCAGAGGAUAGACGUGCUGUUACUACAAGCAGUUAUACAGAGUCAUUCUCUCAUGAUACUUUAUAAACCUUUUUUUUUUUCAGUUUUCUAGGUUCGCAGUUCACUACACUGAUGAAAAUGGAACAUCUAAAAACCUUAAAAGCUUUUCAGAGCAGAGUAAAUAUUGGACUUCCAUUCACAGUCCAGUUUUCACAUUAUGUUCCUAUAUAGCUUAACUGCUUUCUCAUUUGUGCUUUCUCAGAAACGUAAGAAGAAUAUUUUAGCACAUACGGUCCAGUUGGAUAUACAGCCUGGAGGAACCACAAAGUCUCUGCAAGAGGCUGAGAGGGGAAGAUGCAGGCACAGGUUAGCGACCAAGCUUCUCUGGUGUUGUACCUGUAAGAGUGGCAGAGUUGAUUGGCUGGUUCGUCACUCGUCCAGACCUCUACACAACUAUUGGAAGAAGACCCUCUCUGAUGUCCACAGGAGUGUCUUGUAUGCUUCCCUGUCAUGGGCAUAGACAGCACCGCCCCCUUCCGGCCAUACGUUCCCCUUACCGGUGUGUUGCCGGUCUGUGGGGCUCUCUGCAGCUGCUAAUCAGUGGAUUGGUCGAGCUGCGGGAGCCCCAUACCUGUAGCACAAUUCCAUCUGCUGCUAUAGAAACUGGCUUCACACAUCAGAGGACGUGGGACCAUACUGGAUUAUUGCACUACUGCCUUGUUUCCUAUAUCUUGUUCUGAGAGGGCGCUGUAGCGCUGAGCAGCCGAUCUCUCCUCUGCCGUCCUUGGGGAAAGGACGGAGACCCCUGCUGCCCUCUAAGGAAAGGACUUUGUGAGUGUUUUGCCUGAGUGGCAUAAUUGUUUUGUUUUUUUUUAGAAUAAAUCCUG